Molecule: ribosomal RNA, 442 nt
Filed under: uncultured bacterium
Lineage: Bacteria
Description: partial 16S ribosomal RNA
Rfam family: Bacterial small subunit ribosomal RNA
Source: RNAcentral
CCUACGGGUGGCAGCAGUGGGGAAUAUUGGGCAAUGGACGCAAGUCUGACCCAGCAACGCCGCGUGAAGGAAGAAGGCUUUCGGGUUGUAAACUUCUUUUAGGGGGGACGGGCAGAAGAGGGUACCCUUUGAUUAACCCCCGGUUAACGCGGUGCCAGAAGCAGCGUUAAUCGGAGGGUGGCAAGCGUUUUCCGGAUUUACUGGGUGUAAAGGGCGGGCACCCGGAGAGACAAGUCAGUUGUGAAACCCACGGGCUCAACCCGUGAACUGCAUUUGAAACUGUAGAGCUUGAGUGUCGGAGAGGGUGGCGGAAUUCCAGGUGUAGGAGUGAAAUCCGUAGAUAUCUGGAGGAACACCAGUGGCGAAGGCGGCCACCUGGACGACAACUGACGCUGAGGUGCGAAAGCGUGGGUAGCAAACAGGAUUAGAUACCCUAGUAGUC